AUCUACGCCAGGCCGGGGGCCGUGAACUUGAGCCCGCGCCGCCGCCUCGUUCCAUCUUCUCCCGAAGAUGACGACUAGGCGGCAGGUCCGACUCCGACUCGCAUUUUUUCACGCAGCGACUCCAGCUCCACCAGCAAAAGUAUUCAACUUUUAGCUAAGUGAUCCCUCCCUCGUCUUGUCUACACCUGCAACUCGGACAAGAUACAGAACUAAACAUGCGACUCAUCCAGGUCUACACCAGCCUCCCCCAGCUCCGUGGGAGUGAAAGUGAACUGGCUGGACAGCAGGGGGUUCUCCAUGCCGUUUUCUUCGCUGAUGUGAAGGACAGUGUCUCCGUGCUGCAGGAGGACGGACGUCUCAAGGCCUGUGAAGUCAUCAGGGUCUGAGAUUUGAGUAGAGAGGGGGCUGUGUGCUGCAGCACCUUGUACUUCUGGGUCCUCCUUCUUUUCUCCUUCUUCAGCAGGGAGGGUCUCACUCUAUGAUCAAACAGACCAUAAUGUCAGGGGAAAGUAGAGUGGGUGCCAGGGAAGAGUACAAAAAAUGUUGUCCAGCUUUAACUGGACAGGAUUGUCAAGGCUAGUCUCAUUUCUAGCCUUUGUUAGAUGUGAGCUUUUCUGGAGGCCCUCCAACUUUCUAAGCCUCAGUUUUCUAACCUGUUGCAUGAGCAUAAUUUUUGCUCUGCUAACCUCGUACACUGUGAGGAUACAUGAGCUCAUGCUGUUACAAUACUUUGUAACCAUUAAAGACUACACAAAUGUAUAUAGUAAUAUUGCCCCUUUGCUUUCUUCAAGUACAUGAGGAGGAAGUUGGACCUGUGGGAAUUCAUUUAUAAAAAUCAAAAGAAGAAAAAAUAUCAUAACAAUGAGGGGAAAGAUCAAAACAAGAAGUUCCUCUCAUCUUACAGGAUGCAGAAGGCUCUCUAUUUAAAGGCUGCAUCUAAAUUGGUAACUUUUUAAAAACAGAACUAUC
This is a long non-coding RNA of Myotis myotis, 969 nucleotides long. RefSeq lists it as uncharacterized. Lineage: Eukaryota; Metazoa; Chordata; Mammalia; Chiroptera; Vespertilionidae. The transcript has 2 exons. The record is from RefSeq and is a predicted model, not a curated record.